GCGCUCACUUCGGCAGCACAGAGACUAAAAUUGGAAUGGCAUAGAGAAGCUUGGCGUGGGCCCUGUACAAGGAGGACACACAAAUUCAUGAUGUGCUCCAUAUUUAA
Pteronotus mesoamericanus is the source of this 107-nucleotide small nuclear RNA. Lineage: Eukaryota; Metazoa; Chordata; Mammalia; Chiroptera; Mormoopidae. The record is from RefSeq and is a predicted model, not a curated record.